AAGCACAAAGGGGACCCGAAGGUCCCCUUUAAUUUGUCGUUGCGUGCUCUUUUUUUAUUAUUGAGGGGCGGCCUAUUGUUGUUUUUGGUAGCCGUUACCCUUUACCGCUGUUUUUUGGCGACCCCCAUGCGGGGUCAAGAGCAAACGUAUUUUUUUGAGCGCUGAUCUGCUUCUUCGCGUGCGAUCCAACCAGUGGGUAGCUACCUGAUGGUAGUU
This 216-nucleotide unclassified non-coding RNA is filed under the name Pseudomonas palleroniana. RNAcentral's name for it is "Pseudomonas sRNA P29". The record is from RNAcentral. Lineage: Bacteria; Pseudomonadati; Pseudomonadota; Gammaproteobacteria; Pseudomonadales; Pseudomonadaceae.